RNAcentral lists this long non-coding RNA (1336 nucleotides) under Brachypodium distachyon (stiff brome). RNAcentral's name for it is "long non-coding RNA (BDIS_LNC001858)". The record is from RNAcentral. Lineage: Eukaryota; Viridiplantae; Streptophyta; Magnoliopsida; Poales; Poaceae.
UUAGCACCCCAGAAAGAUCAGCUCAGGAAAAAAAAACAGGGAAACUGCAAGAGAUCUGAAGCUAAUAAAGAUGCAAAUUUAUUGUGCGUAGGUUUGUCACAGAGUCAACUCUGAAUUGCUGCAAAUUUAUUAUUCCAUAUGCACAGCACUGAGGCACAAUCCAGAAUCCAGGGAACAAAAACUUCAGCAGGUAAAAUCCAGGGUCAUAUCUUAACCAUUACAAUGCCCUUCAGACUUCAGCAUGGUCAAGUGCCUAUUUGCUGCCCCACGGCAGGAAGAAGGAGCAGAGUGGUUUGUUCGUGUAUGGAUUGGUUCAACCUUCAAGCUGAUACUGCAGUUAACCUAAGGCUCCAAGUGUGAGGGUUCAACCUAAGGCUCAAAUGAAGAACUUGAGGCUGCCCGGUUAUCCAGGAAUUGAAAUUUCUGUUCCAACGCUGCCAUGGCUGCUCCGUGCACCUGUAGAAGGAACCAUGUUGAUUGCACCCAAUAAAGGCACAUCCAUACACAAGUAAGCAACAACUUAGCUUUCAGCAAAUUCCAUCUAUUCAAUUAAAAAACAGAGAAUAACCAGUGAAGCUAGGUAUGCAUUGUGAGAUUAUUUCACUCCUCUCGACGUCUAUACACAUCAAAUGAUCAGAAAUUAUCACACUGUAUAGUGUAUACACAUAUGCAAUCUUCAGAACUUCAGUUAAACACAGAGAGUACAUCUGACGUUGCAUACCAACAUAAUCUUCAGAUUUUCUUUUCUCAAUGGAUGAAGUAAAUCCAAAGGAGCGGUAGGGUAGACGAGCCGGCGGCCACCAUGGGGAAUGGAGGCAGGGGCGGCUGUGGGCAGCACGCAAGGGAGGCAUUUUUUUUUAUAGAGCUUGCUAGGUAGCCUUACCUUCUUGCAGCUGGCAACCUUGUAAGUGGGAGGCGGCGGCAAGGGAUCCGGGGCGAGGUGCUUCGACGGCGUGGCGAGGUGCUCGGUGGGGCGAGCUGGUCCAAAGCUCAACGGUGUGGCGUCGUUUUCCUGCACGGCGGAAGAUGGCGGCGUAUCUAGGGCGAUUCCGUCAGGACGACAUGAUUCGAGAUGGGGUUUGGGGAGAUGGGGAAACGCCAGCCAGAGGGACAGGGGAGGGUGGCCGCGGCCUGAAGGGUGGGGGAGCCGGGAAGGGCGAACCCUAGCUAGAGGAGCACGGGAGAAAUAGUCUGGGGGAUGUGGGAGACGGCGGCGGCGGCGAGGACGACGCGCCCACGCGUGCAACCGCUGCUCUGCCGCCCUGAAGGGCACAACCCAUCCAUGGGGGACCCGGGUGAGCGGCGCGUGGGGAGGGGACGGGGGCGUGGUGCGACG